This 77-nucleotide transfer RNA is filed under the name Brachybacterium alimentarium. RNAcentral describes it as "tRNA-Lys". It matches the Rfam family "tRNA". Rfam says of the family: Transfer RNA (tRNA) molecules are approximately 80 nucleotides in length. Their secondary structure includes four short double-helical elements and three loops (D, anti-codon, and T loops). The record is from RNAcentral. RNAcentral also lists the same sequence under 1 other name. Lineage: Bacteria; Bacillati; Actinomycetota; Actinomycetes; Micrococcales; Dermabacteraceae.
GCGCCAUUAGCUCAGUUGGUUAGAGCAGCUGACUCUUAAUCAGCGGGUCCGGGGUUCGAGUCCCUGAUGGCGCACCG